RNAcentral lists this unclassified non-coding RNA (232 nucleotides) under Cardiocrinum giganteum. RNAcentral describes it as "ITS 2". The record is from RNAcentral. Lineage: Eukaryota; Viridiplantae; Streptophyta; Magnoliopsida; Liliales; Liliaceae.
CUCAUUUCGCUCUAUGACCAUUCUCCUUCAGGGGCGGUCAUGGAUGCGGAGAGUGGCCCUCCAUGCCUCAUGUGCGACGGGCUUAAGUGUGGGCUGUCAGCGCCGGAAUGGGCACGACGUGUGGUGGACGAAGCACCAACAGGAUGUCGUGGACCCUGUUGCCUUGAGGGGCUCAAGAGACUCAGACUAGGUGAGCCGUGCUCCAUACAAGGAGGGCAUGUCAUCUCGCAAU